GACGAACGCUGGCGGCGUGCUUAACACAUGCAAGUCGAACGGAAAGGCCCUGCUUUUGUGGGGUGCUCGAGUGGCGAACGGGUGAGUAACACGUGAGUAACCUGCCCUUGACUUUGGGAUAACUUCAGGAAACUGGGGCUAAUACCGGAUAGGAGCUCCUGCUGCAUGGUGGGGGUUGGAAAGUUUCGGCGGUGGGGGCUGGACUCGCGGCUUAUCAGCUUGUUGGUGGGGUAGUGGCUUACCAAGGCUUUGACGGGUAGCCGGCCUGAGAGGGUGACCGGCGAGAUUGGGACUGAGAUACGGCCCAGACUCCUACGGGAGGCAGCAGUGGGGAAUAUUGCACAAUGGGCGGAAGCCGGAGGCAGCAACGCCGCGUGCGGGAUGACGGCCUUCGGGUUGUAAACCGCUUUCGCCUGUGACGAAGCGUGAGUGACGGUAAUGGGUAAAGAAGCACCGGCUAACUACGUG
Molecule: ribosomal RNA, 468 nt
Filed under: uncultured bacterium
Lineage: Bacteria
Description: partial 16S ribosomal RNA
Rfam family: Bacterial small subunit ribosomal RNA
Source: RNAcentral